This 524-nucleotide ribosomal RNA is filed under the name uncultured bacterium. RNAcentral's name for it is "partial 16S ribosomal RNA". It matches the Rfam family "Bacterial small subunit ribosomal RNA", at positions 28 to 523 of the family's 1533-position model. The record is from RNAcentral.
GGUGAACGCUGGCGGCGUGCCUAAUACAUGCAAGUCGAGCGCAGGAAACCGUUCCGAACCCUUCGGGGGGACGACGGUGGAAUGAGCGGCGGACGGGUGAGUAACACGUAAAGAACCUGCCCAUAGGUCUGGGAUAACCACGAGAAAUCGGGGCUAAUACCGGAUGUGUCAUCGGACCGCAUGGUCCGCUGAUGAAAGGCGCUCCGGCGUCGCCCAUGGAUGGCUUUGCGGUGCAUUAGCUAGUUGGUGGGGUAACGGCCCACCAAGGCGACGAUUAAUAGCCGACCUGAGAGGGGGAUCGGCCACACUGGGACUGAGACACGGCCCAGACUCCUACGGGAGGCAGCAGGAGGGAAUCUUCACAAUGGUCGAAAGUCUGAUGGAGCAACGCCGCGUGAACGAUGAAGGCUUUCGGGUCGUAAAGUUCUGUUGUAAGGGAAGAACAAGUGCCGCAGGCAAUGGCGGCACCUUGACGGUACCUUGCGAGAAAGCCACGGCUAACUACGUGCCAGCCGCCGCCGUAA